GAUUUCUGGUUUAAUGCACCUGGCCCGCAGCCCUCAAGGCUUGUGAGUGCCGGCGCGCGUUUACCAUCCUUCUAGAAAUCAAUUCUGCCAUUUGCUUGGUGGGGUUGCAAUUCUAGAUCUUUUACUUUGAAAAAAUUAGAGUGUUUAAAGCAGGCUUUUGCUAUGAAUACAUUAGCAUGGAAUAAUAAUCUAGGACUUCGGUUCUAUUUUGUUGGUUUCUAUAACUGAAGUAAUGAUUGAUAGGGACAGUUGGGGGUGCUAGUAUUGGCCGGCCAGAGGUGAAAUUCUUGGAUUCGGUCAAGACUAACUUAUGCGAAAGCAUU
This 323-nucleotide ribosomal RNA is filed under the name Rhogostoma sp. Its description in RNAcentral is "SSU rRNA". The stretch from base 113 to 323 matches the Rfam family "Eukaryotic small subunit ribosomal RNA", at positions 743 to 955 of the family's 1831-position model. Lineage: Eukaryota; Cercozoa; Thecofilosea; Cryomonadida; Rhogostomidae. The record is from RNAcentral.